This 73-nucleotide transfer RNA is filed under the name Stegodyphus mimosarum. It matches the Rfam family "tRNA". From Rfam's summary of the family: Transfer RNA (tRNA) molecules are approximately 80 nucleotides in length. Their secondary structure includes four short double-helical elements and three loops (D, anti-codon, and T loops). Lineage: Eukaryota; Metazoa; Arthropoda; Arachnida; Araneae; Eresidae. The record is from Rfam by way of RNAcentral.
GCCUUCGUGAUGUAGUGGUCAACACGCUGGACACGUAAUAGAGAGGUCCAUGGUUCGAUUCCCGGCGAAGGCG